This 555-nucleotide ribosomal RNA is filed under the name uncultured archaeon. Its description in RNAcentral is "bacterial SSU rRNA". It matches the Rfam family "Archaeal small subunit ribosomal RNA", at positions 323 to 879 of the family's 1478-position model. The record is from RNAcentral.
CUUCGGGGUGCCCAGGCGCGAAAACUUUACAAUGCUGGCAACAGCGAUAAGCGGACCUUGAGUGCCAGGAUACAAUCCUGGCUGUCGUGAUGCCUAAAAAGCAUUAUAUAGCAAGGGCCGGGCAAGACCGGUGCCAGCCGCCGCGGUAACACCGGCGGCUCGAGUGGUAACCGCUAUUAUUGGGUCUAAAGGGUCUGUAGCCGGCUUGGUUAGUCUCUUGGGAAAUCCGGCAGCUUAACUGUCGGGCUUUCAGGAGAUACUGCCAGGCUCGAGACCGGGAGAGGUGAGAGGUACUUCAUGGGUAGGGGUGAAAUCUUGUAAUCCUUGAAGGACCACCAGUGGCGAAGGCGUCUCACCAGAACGGAUCUGACGGCAAGGGACGAAAGCUAGGGGCACGAACCGGAUUAGAUACCCGGGUAGUCCUAGCCGUAAACGAUACUCGCUAGGUGUCGGCCACGGUGCGACCGUGGUCGGUGCCGUAGGGAAGCCGUGAAGCGAGCCACCUGGGAAGUACGGCCGCAAGGCUGAAACUUAAAGGAAUUGGCGGGGGAGCAC